AUGGACGACAAGCCGAUUGUCAUCGACAUGGAAGCGGCGCUGCGUGCGGUGGCGGGCAAACUUGGGGUCGCCCGGGUUCUCUCGCCAUACCCGGUCGACCCCAAGGCGGUCGUCAACGAGCUUCGGGGGCCAUGGCGACUCCGAGGAGAGGCCGUGGCACAACGCGUCACGAGCGACGACCGCCGUUUCGUCAUCACCUUCGCGGAGGGUGGGGAUCGACAUCAUGUUCUGCACGAUGGGCCAUGGCAUUUCAGAAAUGAUGCUAUAAUCCUAGCGGCUUUCGACAGAGAUGGCAAUCCGGCCGAUGUGCGCCUCGACUCCAUCAAGCUAUGGGCACAAAUCUGGGGCCUUCCAGUACCGAUCAAGACGGUGGAGAUGGGAUACAUCCUGGGCGACAAGCUUGGAAAGGUCCUCGCGGUGGCCCACCAAAACAAAAUGAUCAUCGACGAGCAUCUUCGAGUCCGGGUCGAGCAUCUCGUCGACGAGCCCCUGAGGAAGACCAUCGACACGACCCCGGUUGGCAGUAAAGUAGAGAUCCUAUAUGAUGUUAAGUAUGAAAAAUUGCCAAAUUUUUGCUUUUGUUGUGGCUUGUUGGGGCAUACUACUGCCAGAUUCUGUACCAUCCCUAAGGAACUUCGGAAGCCUAAGUUCUCCAACGACAUCAAGGUGCCGGCCUUCUGGAGCACCAUGCAAGCUUCGAGCGGCCCUGGUCGAUGGCACCUCAGCUUGGGAGGUCAUUGGGACGACCGGGAUCUUCAGGACAACGACAACCUGGAGCUGGUCAAGCUGCUGGAAAAGGAAGUCACUGCCGUGGCUACGGCGGUAUAG
Molecule: ribosomal RNA, 828 nt
Filed under: Triticum aestivum (bread wheat)
Lineage: Eukaryota; Viridiplantae; Streptophyta; Magnoliopsida; Poales; Poaceae
Description: partial small subunit ribosomal RNA
Source: RNAcentral